RNAcentral lists this long non-coding RNA (41 nucleotides) under Vicia faba (fava bean). The record is from RNAcentral. Lineage: Eukaryota; Viridiplantae; Streptophyta; Magnoliopsida; Fabales; Fabaceae.
CUUCAUACUUCAAUUAUGUUGUAAGCUUGUUGAAAGAUUGA